GUCCACGCAGUAAACGAUGAAUACUGGCUAUGUGGCCCGAAUGAGGGCUGCGUGGCGUAGCGAAAGCGUUAAGUAUUCCACCUGGGGAGUACGCCGGCAACGGUGAAACUCAAAGGAAUUGACGGGGGCCCGCACAAGCGGAGGAACAUGUGGUUUAAUUCGAUGAUACGCGAGGAACCUUACCCGGGCUCAAACGGCGGAUGGAUGCAUGUGAAAGCGUGCAGUCCGCAAGGACAUCUGCCGAGGUGCUGCAUGGUUGUCGU
RNAcentral lists this ribosomal RNA (263 nucleotides) under uncultured bacterium. RNAcentral describes it as "partial 16S ribosomal RNA". It matches the Rfam family "Bacterial small subunit ribosomal RNA", at positions 793 to 1055 of the family's 1533-position model. The record is from RNAcentral.